CCUACGGGGGGCAGCAGUGAGGAAUAUUGGUCAAUGGGCGUAAGCCUGAACCAGCCAAGUCGCGUGAGGGAUGACGGUUCUAUGGAUCGUAAACCUCUUUUAUAAGGGAAUAAAGUGUGGGACGUGUCCUAUUUUGUAUGUACCUUAUGAAUAAGCAUCGGCUAACUCCGUGCCAGCAGCCGCGGUAAUACGGAGGAUCCGAGCGUUAUCCGGAUUUAUUGGGUUUAAAGGGUGCGUAGGCGGCCUUUUAAGUCAGCGGUUAAAGUCGGGGGCUCAACCCUAGAAGUGCCGUUGAAACUGGGGGGCUUGAGUAUGUGUGAGGCAGGCGGAAUGCGUGGUGUAGCGGUGAAAUGCUUAGAUAUCACGCAGAACCCCGAUUGCGAAGGCAGCCUGCCAAGCCAUGACUGACGCUGAGGCACGAAAGCGUGGGGAUCAAACAGGAUUAGAUACCCGGGUAGUC
Molecule: ribosomal RNA, 460 nt
Filed under: uncultured bacterium
Lineage: Bacteria
Description: partial 16S ribosomal RNA
Rfam family: Bacterial small subunit ribosomal RNA
Source: RNAcentral